GGUUGUGACUCAGUGGUAGAGCACUUGCCUAGCAUGCAUGAGGCACUGGGUUCAAUCCCCAGCACCA
Molecule: transfer RNA, 67 nt
Filed under: Marmota monax (woodchuck)
Lineage: Eukaryota; Metazoa; Chordata; Mammalia; Rodentia; Sciuridae
Description: tRNA.Ala
Rfam family: tRNA
About the family: Transfer RNA (tRNA) molecules are approximately 80 nucleotides in length. Their secondary structure includes four short double-helical elements and three loops (D, anti-codon, and T loops). Further hydrogen bonds mediate the characteristic L-shaped molecular structure. tRNAs have two regions of fundamental functional importance: the anti-codon, which is responsible for specific mRNA codon recognition, and the 3' end, to which the tRNAs corresponding amino acid is attached (by aminoacyl-tRNA synthetases). tRNAs cope with the degeneracy of the genetic code in two manners: having more than one tRNA (with a specific anti-codon) for a particular amino acid; and 'wobble' base-pairing, i.e. permitting non-standard base-pairing at the 3rd anti-codon position.
Source: RNAcentral